Molecule: unclassified non-coding RNA, 380 nt
Filed under: uncultured Armatimonadota bacterium
Lineage: Bacteria; Bacillati; Armatimonadota
Description: uncultured Armatimonadetes bacterium contains 16S-23S intergenic spacer region
Source: RNAcentral
UCCGGCUUACACCGGCGGUCUCCUGUGAGUGCCCGACUUUCUCGCUGGUAACACAGGACGUGGGUUGCGCUCGUUGGCGGACUUAACCGUACACCUCACGGCACGAGCUGACGACAGCCAUGCAACAAGUGUCUUCACGUCCCCUUGUGGGGGAGGGACCGAUUUCUCGGCCUUGCGAUCGAUGUCAAGUCUGGGUAAGGUUCUUCGGUUAGUAUCGAAUUAAUCCACAUGCUCCACCGCUUGUGCGGGUCCCCGUCAAUUCAUUUGAGUUUCAACCUUGCGGCCGUACUCCCCAGGCGGGAUACUUAGUGCGUUAGCUGCGGCACAGGAGGGGUCGAUACCUCCUACGCCUAGUAUCCAUCGUUUAGGGCGUGGACUAC